UGGCCCUUCCUCUUUUCUUUUGUUCUAUCAUUACGUAACCAAAAAUUGUGGCAGUUUUCAGUAUCAGUUGGCAGUUUGCCUCGUGUUCAGGUGUCUCAAGUUUAUUUCUCUGCAAGGUGUUGUCCGUGUUUAAACUAAAGUGCCAAAUUGUAGUGAAAGAUAAUUUUGUGGCCAAUCACAGUUCCUGGAUCAAUUUCGCUUAUUUUAUAUUCGGGGAGGAGGAGCGAAAGGAAUCCGCACGGUUGGGCCAUCAUCAACUCAUCAUCUCUCGUCCAUUGCCGCGCUCGUGUGUCGUCGACUGAUGACAGCGCGCAAUUACACGAAAACGGAUUACACCCAGGAAUAAGGGACGGGACGGGGAGAGAAGAAGAAGAUUCCCUCGCGUGAUUGAGCGGGCAAGUGUGGCGGAACAAGCUUAUAACACACAGCAGCAGGAGCCGACCGAUAUUAGAGCAGCAGCAGUAUAGCAGUAGCCUGAUGGCGAAGAAGAAAAGAAACAAGGCGAAGCAGCAAGAACAAUCUGCUGCUCUAAAAGUGAGCACAGACAGACAGACAGACCCGCCUGGGUAGAUAUGUACAGUCGGCCAACGUUAAAUGGAUUUUGUGUCGACAGAUUAAAUAUGCCGGGCAGAUUAGUUGAUCAACUGAGUAUCUUAAUACUCAUAACUCGUUUCGUUGAUUACAUUUUUUU
Long non-coding RNA from Daphnia pulex (common water flea), 691 nucleotides. RefSeq lists it as uncharacterized. Lineage: Eukaryota; Metazoa; Arthropoda; Branchiopoda; Diplostraca; Daphniidae. The transcript is spliced from 2 exons. The record is from RefSeq and is a predicted model, not a curated record.